RNAcentral lists this small RNA (107 nucleotides) under Marmota monax (woodchuck). The record is from RNAcentral. Lineage: Eukaryota; Metazoa; Chordata; Mammalia; Rodentia; Sciuridae.
GCCGGGUGCGGUGGUGCACGCCUAUAAUCCCGACAGCUCAGGAGGCUGAGGCAGGAGGAUUGUGAGUUCAAAGCCAGCCUCAACAACUUAGUGAGACCUUGUCUCUA